This 604-nucleotide ribosomal RNA is filed under the name Phomopsis sp. FP-25. RNAcentral's name for it is "eukaryotic LSU rRNA". The stretch from base 157 to 310 matches the Rfam family "5.8S ribosomal RNA". The record is from RNAcentral. Lineage: Eukaryota; Fungi; Ascomycota; Sordariomycetes; Diaporthales; Diaporthaceae.
GCGCACCCAGAAACCCUUUGUGAACUUAUACCUUACUGUUGCCUCGGCGCAUGCUGGCCCCCUCGGGGCCCCCUGGAGACAGGGAGCAGGCACGCCGGCGGCCAAGUUAACUCUUGUUUUUACACUGAAACUCUGAGAAAAACACAAAUGAAUCAAAACUUUCAACAACGGAUCUCUUGGUUUUGGCAUCGAUGAAGAACGCAGCGAAAUGCGAUAAGUAAUGUGAAUUGCAGAAUUCAGUGAAUCAUAGAAUCUUUGAACGCACAUUGCGCCCUCUGGUAUUCCGGAGGGCAUGCCUGUUCGAGCGUCAUUUCAACCGUCAAGCAUUGCUUGGUGUUGGGGCAGUGUUUUUUACCGAGCAGGCCCUGAAAUUUAGUGGCGAGCUCCCCGGGACCCCGAGCGCAGUAGUUAAACCCUCGCUCUGGAAGGCCCUGGCGGUCCCCCACAGAUAAACCCCCAACUUCUGAAAAUUUGACCUCGGAUCAGGCAGGAAUACCCGUUCAAAAAAGCUAGUAUAAAAGCGGAGGAGGACAAAACCCGGGAAAUACACAAAUUCGAAGAGCAACUAAUACGUCUCCAGAACACACAGUUAUAUGGUUUUUGG